GCUUGUUUUGUAAAAACAAAUACAUUCUUAAACUACACAUUAACACAUAUUGUAUCUGGCUUUUUAUUCAGAUGAAUUGGAGCAGAAUGACCCUGAAAGUGAUGCUGCUGAAGAGGACAAAGAGGAAUCAGAUGUGAUCCUUCAGCAGAGGGAUGAUGUGGAACAACAAGAUGGGCAACUGACAGCUGAGCAAGAUGCCCUGGAGCACAUAAAGACUUGCAGAGAUAAACUCUUCCUGGAUGAAAGGUUUAUUGACCACUUUAAAGGGAGGUGUGUGUUUACUCAUGAAUCCAUUGAACCAUCCACAUUCGUUGUUGAGUAUCGGGGAAACAUCUUCUCUCGCAAAGUAACCAGGACAGAAAGGUCUGGUCAAACUUUGAACAAUUAUUUGUUUGACUUCUCAUGGAAUGGAACAAACUGGCGGUGAGUUUAGUGUGUGUGUUGUGUGUUGUGUGUUGUGUGUUGUGUGUUGUGUGUGUGUUGUGUGUGUGUUGUGUGUGUGUGUGUGUGUGUGUGUGUGUGUGAGAGAAUAAAUCCUCCAUGUCUUGAAUAAUAGUAUUGCCAGUUAUCUAACAAUCUGUCACCCCCAUCAAUCCCAGUCAGAGUGAUAAAACAGAUAUUUUGCGAGUCUCAUUACGAUUAUUUUUGUUUCUAGCAUUGAUGCCUCAAAAGAGGAUGGGACCCUCGGGAGACUCGUGAAUGACAAUCACAUAAGUCCCAACUGUGAAAUAAGGACAAUUG
Molecule: long non-coding RNA, 741 nt
Filed under: Cottoperca gobio
Lineage: Eukaryota; Metazoa; Chordata; Actinopteri; Perciformes; Bovichtidae
Description: lncRNA (ENSCGOG00000017493.1)
Source: RNAcentral